UACAGAGGUGGCAAGCGUUGUUCGGAAUUACUGGGCGUAAAGGGCGCGUAGGCGGCCUUCUAAGUCAGACGUGAAAUCCCCCGGCUUAACCUGGGAACUGCGUCUGAUACUGGGAGGCUUGAGUAUGGGAGAGGGAUGUAGAAUUCCAGGUGUAGCGGUGAAAUGCGUAGAUAUCUGGAGGAAUACCGGUGGCGAAGGCGGCAUCCUGGACCAUAACUGACACUGAGAGACGAGAGCCAGGGGAGCAAACGGG
Molecule: ribosomal RNA, 253 nt
Filed under: uncultured bacterium
Lineage: Bacteria
Description: partial 16S ribosomal RNA
Rfam family: Bacterial small subunit ribosomal RNA
Source: RNAcentral